GACGAACGCUGGCGGCGUGCUUAACACAUGCAAGUCGAACGGUAAGGCCCUUCGGGGUACACGAGUGGCGAACGGGUGAGUAACACGUGGGUGAUCUGCCCUGCACUUCGGGAUUAGCCUGGGAAACUGGGUCUAAUAGCGGAUAGGACUCCUGGCUUCAUGGUUGGGGGUGGAAAGCUUUUGCGGUGUGGGAUGGGCCCGCGGCCUAUCAGCUUGUUGGUGGGGUAAUGGCCUACCAAGGCGACGACGGGUAGCCGGCCUGAGAGGGUGACCGGUCACACUGGGACUGAGAUACGGCCCAGACUCCUACGGGAGGCAGCAGUGGGGAAUAUUGCACAAUGGGCGCAAGCCUGAUGCAGCGACGCCGCGUGAGGGAUGACGGCCUUCGGGUUGUAAACCUCUUUCAGCACCGACGAAGCGCAAGUGACGGUAGGUGCAGAAGAAGGACCGGCCAACUACGUGCCAGCCGCCGCCGUAA
RNAcentral lists this ribosomal RNA (478 nucleotides) under uncultured bacterium. RNAcentral describes it as "partial 16S ribosomal RNA". It matches the Rfam family "Bacterial small subunit ribosomal RNA", at positions 28 to 523 of the family's 1533-position model. The record is from RNAcentral.